This 830-nucleotide unclassified non-coding RNA is filed under the name Hevea brasiliensis (rubber tree). Lineage: Eukaryota; Viridiplantae; Streptophyta; Magnoliopsida; Malpighiales; Euphorbiaceae. The record is from RNAcentral.
AAAAAAAAAAAAAAACCUAAGCAAUACAAUGCCAACACAUCAGUCAUCAGCUAUAAGCAAAAAUAAUAACACAGUAAAAGCAAUGCACAUUCACCAUUUAUUAUAGGAGAAAGAUAAGGGUAAAGCAGACAAACUGGAAAUUUAAAUUUCAUUUAGAAAAUAAACAUCAACUCACAAGGGCCCAAACAAAACAAAACAAAACAAAAAAUAGGCUGCAAUUUCAAACAAAGAACACAAAUAACAUCUAUUUGCUUACUCAACUAUUAGGUAUAACAAAUCACAAUAUUUCAAUGUUCUACCUACUACAUGGGAUGGAAUAUUAUUGAAAAAAGGGAAUUACAACUAGUGAUUAUAUAAGAAGAAAGCCCAAGAAUUAUCCUUCUAAAAAUCUAUUCUCAAGCCAACAGAAAUCUAUUUUCCCAUUCCUAACAGAGUAAUCAACUGGAAAACAAAUAUACCUUCAAAACCAAAAUGACUUGAUAAAUCAUCCAAUAAAAAAGAUUUUAAGAAGAAAAUUCUGAGAAACACAAUGACAACAUGUUAGUAUUAAACUAAAAUAUUAAUAAAGAAAAAGCAGCGCACAAUCACAACAGGCAAUAGGAGAAUGAUAAGGGGAGGCAGGCAAACUAGAGAUUUAAAUAGUAAAUACACAACAACUUAAAAGGACCAAACAAAAAAAGUAGGCUAUAAUUUCAACCAAAGAAUAUAACCAUCCUAUAUUUGUUGACUCAGCUUUGAGCUAUAAUUAAUUCUCAAUAUUUUCAAUGUUCUACUUCUACCUACUACAUGGAAUGGAAGGCUUUUAAAAACAACAACAACAACAAUAAUAA